GGGGAUUUAGCUUAGUGGCAUAAGCACCUGCCUUGCAAGCAGGUGGUCGUGAGUUCUGUCCCCG
This is a transfer RNA of Cavia porcellus (domestic guinea pig), 64 nucleotides long. It matches the Rfam family "tRNA". From Rfam's summary of the family: Transfer RNA (tRNA) molecules are approximately 80 nucleotides in length. Their secondary structure includes four short double-helical elements and three loops (D, anti-codon, and T loops). Further hydrogen bonds mediate the characteristic L-shaped molecular structure. tRNAs have two regions of fundamental functional importance: the anti-codon, which is responsible for specific mRNA codon recognition, and the 3' end, to which the tRNAs corresponding amino acid is attached (by aminoacyl-tRNA synthetases). tRNAs cope with the degeneracy of the genetic code in two manners: having more than one tRNA (with a specific anti-codon) for a particular amino acid; and 'wobble' base-pairing, i.e. permitting non-standard base-pairing at the 3rd anti-codon position. Lineage: Eukaryota; Metazoa; Chordata; Mammalia; Rodentia; Caviidae. The record is from Rfam.